Coturnix japonica (Japanese quail) is the source of this 2039-nucleotide non-coding RNA. Lineage: Eukaryota; Metazoa; Chordata; Aves; Galliformes; Phasianidae. The record is from the annotation of a RefSeq genome assembly.
UGGCCGUUGAAGGGCUCGUAACACUAGUGACAUCAGCUAUGUACAGUGUUCCAUGGCAACCCAAACACGGCAGUUGGGGCCUAUGGCCUGUGAGAUGCCCCAGUUUAAAGAAGGAAGGACAGGGGGUACGGAGGGACACCAUUAUGGGAAGGGCUCACUUGUGCCAUUGUGCUUGCUAGAGAGAACUUGUAGCCAGCCCUUGGGCAAAACGCCGCAUAGAGACUCCACUCUCUUCUUCGUGCCAUGCCUCCAAUCCGUUUGUACUGGUGGCUCUGCACAAGCCCUCCAGCAAAGUCCAGUGUCCAUUAGCAAGCCUGAAAGCAAAACAGUGCUCAUCACCUGCCACAUCUCCGUCUCCAACUUUGACCAAGUCUUCAUUCACUGGUACCGCAGGAGGCCUGGGGGAGCUCCCAGGCGCAUUGCCUACAUGGCAACCAGGCUGUUCCUUGAGAAUGAGUCCGAUGAGGGGAAAUUCAGCAUGGAGAAGGACCUCACCAAAUCUGAGUGCACCCUGACAGUGGGCAGAGUCACCGCACAAGACGCUGCGACCUACUACUGUGCCAGAUGGGAUGCACAGCAGCAGAGAGCCGUAGGGAGCCUGCACAAAGACAUGCUCUGCCUCCCAAAACAGACCCUACAAUGCCAGAACACUUGUGGGAAUGGCCUCCCCUCCCCUCUGCAUCUUUAUUCUAGGCAUAGGCUAUGUGGGCUCUGAAAGGUUUCCCUUUCCUGUACUGUUUGCCCCAGGCUACAAGGUCCCUCUGUUGUGCUGCUUUAUCACAGCAACACCUGCUGGCUGUGCAGGGCCCCUCUCUGGGUGGCUGCUAGUGACUCACAUCCUUCCCUCAGGCACAGCCCCUGCCCCUGCCACACAGCUGGGGGCUUUCUCUGGGGCAGAGGCAAGCAGGCACCCUGAGAAGAAUGCUGCUGCUGCCAGUUCUGGCCCUGGCUGAAGCCUGCUUGCAUCCAUUCCCCUCCCUGUGGUGGAUCCACUGGGAGCAGCAGCGGCAGGAGGCUGUUCCGCACACAGCUGUGGGCAGCAGGCUGGCAGUACUUGCUGUGUUUUCUCUCCUUCUGAUAGAUGGACAUGCACAAGUGCUGCUGCAACAGCGUCCACCAUCUGUUAUCAAAAAGGAAUCCACAACUGUGAGAAUGGAGUGCAAAGUCGAGGGCAUAUAUGACUUCCAGGGUGCCUACAUCCACUGGUACCGACAACUGCCUGCCGGAGCUCCUGAAAGGCUUCUCUAUGUGACAGGAGUAUCACAAGUUAACUACGAUUCGGAUUCCUAUAAGAACAAAUAUUUGUGUUCCAAAGUGGGGAAUAAGAUUUGCACUCUCUCAGUUCUUAAUGUACAUCGUGAUGAUAAAGGUACCUACUAUUGUGCCUACUGGGUGUCUCACAGAGGGAACAGACUGCAGGCAGCCCUUACAGAAAGCCGGCUGCAGCUUCAGCAGCACACUUUCAUUCAAGGGCCAAAAACCACAGCUGCCUUCCUGCCCCCAUCUCUCAGCCUUCAUGAAAUCCCCACAAGUUGAAAUGGGGAAGGAAAUCCAAGAGGAAAGCCAAGACACUUAUGUGGCAGUCACAUUGAGAACACACUGUUCUGUGGGCUGAUGAAAGUUGCUUCUUGGGCAGAUCCAGGGUUCUGAGCAAAGUGGCCAUGGGAAGGGCACAACUGAACAACCCUGGUUUCAGUUUCCAUGCUUAACAAGAUUUGUGGGUAAGAUUUAAUGUGAUAUAGCAGAUAGAUAGAUAGAUAGAUAGAUAGAUAGAUAGAUAGAUAGAUAGAUAGAUGAAUGCAGAAAAAGACGUUAUUAGACUGUAUCUUAGGUCCCCUUUGUAGUGUUACUGAUUGCAUUUUGUUUGACAGAGAAUUUACCGCACACAAAUAUGCGCUCUACUGUAGUGAGCUGAAGACCUUCUGUUGGAUGAGCCAUGAGUCAUUUCCUCCUCUCAGCCACUGAGGAUUUCUCCAUCUUGAUGGCUUUAUAACACUCGUACCACGACUUCAGUUCAACAGUUCGUUCAUGCAGACAAC